This 1118-nucleotide ribosomal RNA is filed under the name uncultured Zetaproteobacteria bacterium. Its description in RNAcentral is "bacterial SSU rRNA". It matches the Rfam family "Bacterial small subunit ribosomal RNA", at positions 28 to 1144 of the family's 1533-position model. The record is from RNAcentral. Lineage: Bacteria; Pseudomonadati; Pseudomonadota; Candidatius Mariprofundia.
AACGAACGCUGGCGGCAUGCCUAACACAUGCAAGUCGAACGGUAACAGGUCUUCGGAUGCUGACGAGUGGCGCACGGGUGAGUAACGCGUGGAUAUCUGCCUAUGAGUGGGGGACAACUUUCGGAAACGAAAGCUAAUACCGCAUAAUCUCUACGGAGCAAAGCAGGGGACCUUUCGGGGCCUUGUGCUUAUAGAUGAGUCCGCGUCAGAUUAGCUAGUUGGUGGGUAAGAGCCUACCAAGGCGAUGAUCUGUAGCUGGUUUGAGAGGAUGAUCAGCCACACUGGAACUGAGACACGGUCCAGACUCCUACGGGAGGCAGCAGUGGGGAAUUUUGCACAAUGGGCGCAAGCCUGAUGCAGCGAUGCCGCGUGUGGGAAGAAGGCCUUUGGGUUGUAAACCACUUUCAAUUGGGAAGAAGGGAUGAGUAUUAAUAAUACUCUGACUUGACGGUACCUUUAGAAGAAGCACCGGCUAAUUUCGUGCCAGCAGCCGCGGUAAUACGAAAGGUGCAAGCGUUGUUCGGAUUUACUGGGCGUAAAGAGAUCGUAGGUGGUUUGUUAAGUUGGAUGUGAAAUCCCGGGCUCAACCUCGGAACUGCAUCCAAAACCGGCAGACUAGAGUUCGGGAGGGGUAAGCGGAAUUCCGUGUGUAGCAGUGAAAUGCGUAGAUAUACGGAGGAACACCAGAGGCGAAGGCGGCUUACUGGACCGAUACUGACACUGAGGAUCGAAAGCGUGGGUAGCAAACAGGAUUAGAUACCCUGGUAGUCCACGCCCUAAACGAUGUCAACUAGUCGUUGCGGGUAUUGACCCCUGCAGUGACGCAGCUAACGCAUUAAGUUGACCGCCUGGGAGUACGGUCGCAGGAUUAAAACUCAAAGGAAUUGACGGGGCCCGCACAAGCGGUGGAGCAUGUGGUUUAAUUCGACGCAACGCGAAGAACCUUACCUGGGUUUGACAUCCUUAGAAUACUUUAGAGAUAGAGUAGUGCCUUCGGGAGCUAAGAGACAGGUGCUGCAUGGUUGUCGUCAGCUCGUGUCGUGAGAUGUUGGGUUAAGUCCCGCAACGAGCGCAACCCCUAUUGUUAGUUGCCAUCAUUAAGAGUAGUCAGAGCUAGU